This 497-nucleotide ribosomal RNA is filed under the name uncultured bacterium. RNAcentral describes it as "partial 16S ribosomal RNA". It matches the Rfam family "Bacterial small subunit ribosomal RNA", at positions 28 to 507 of the family's 1533-position model. The record is from RNAcentral.
GAUGAACGCUGGCGGCGUGCCUAAUACAUGCAAGUCGAGCGAACAGAUGAGGAGCUUGCUCCUCUGACGUUAGCGGCGGACGGGUGAGUAACACGUGGAUAACCUACCUAUAAGACUGGGAUAACUUCGGGAAACCGGAGCUAAUACCGGAUAAUAUAUUGAACCGCAUGGUUCAAUAGUGAAAGACGGUUUUGCUGUCACUUAUAGAUGGAUCCGCGCCGCAUUAGCUAGUUGGUAAGGUAACGGCUUACCAAGGCAACGAUGCGUAGCCGACCUGUGAGGGUGAUCGGCCACACUGGAACUGAGACACGGUCCAGACUCCUACGGGAGGCAGCAGUAGGGAAUCUUCCGCAGUGGGCGAAAGCCUGACGGAGCAACGCCGCGUGAGUGAUGAAGGUCUUCGGAUCGUAAAACUCUGUUAUUAGAGAAGAACAAAUGUGUAAGUAACUAUGCACGUCUUGACGGUACCUAAUCAGAAAGCCACGGCUAACUACGUG